AUCUUUUGGACAGUUAUUUCUCUAUUGAUAGCCCUAAAGAGUGAAUGACUAUUUAACAUCUUCAAACACAUGGGGUUGGAACAACAUGAGGGUAAGUAAAUGAUUUAUUUGGAUUAUACAGAGGUCUGAUAGUAGUUUUUCAUGUUUAUUUUGUUGACUCUUUUUUUGAGCACUCAAAACGCCUGAAUACAGAAAGUUAAGAAAAAGCCUCCAGCACACACCACAAGCUUUGUGAUUGCUUAGCCGUAAGCAAGAAGAGAUUCCAACCCAACAGUCGGCAUCUCUGAUCACACAAACAGACACUUCUCUGAGCUUCUUCACAAGUCAGAGCAGUUUCUUCUCAUGAAAGGUGCAAAAACAGUGAUAGGCAUUUCAGCCUUUUAUGACGAUGAAUGAUAUCGUACUGCAUUACUUCAGACUCCACAGUGUGAUGCUAAUGAUCUCUAACCCGCUCUUAAAGCUCAGCUAAGUAGUGUAGUGCAGCUUAGUAGUGAGCUACUAAAACCUUAUCCCAUGACAAACAAAUGCUCCUCAGGGAAAGAGAUACUUUGGCAAGGGAUGAAAAACAGGAUGAACUUUGGUGGAACAUGUUCUUACAGACUCUGCACAGGCCUGAGUCAUUGAAUCUCAAAGCUUGGUUUGCUACUUGAACAUAGUCCAGAAUUACAGACGAAAGAGAUGGAGACCCACAGCAUGCCCAAGUGUCUUCAUUACAGGUUUUCUCCAGCCAAUGGUCGACUGGAACAGUAUCUACAGUCACUUCCCAAACUGGUAAGCAGUAUUUUACAAACAAUGUUGCUUGUUCCAAAUACUAGUACGAUGUUGAAUUCCAUGAUUGCUCCUCCUGGGAGCUCUCACAGACCGGAUAAAGACAACUCUGCUUGUUGAAUUUCAGACAAUGAGCAAUGGCAGAAGGUUCCAAUCAAUGAGUAUUCAAAGAAAACAUAUGCUCGCUGUUUACCAACUCGCUCGGCACCAAAGGAUCUUCAGGGAAAAUGCAUUUAAAAGUAGAAGGCAGAGGAGAAUCACUUUUGUUGCUCUUCGUAUUUCACUGUAUUGAUCACAUUCUAAUUUACCGUUACCUGAACACAGAACAGGCUUUUAAAUUACUGAGCAAAGUUACAUUUGUCAUACAUUCCCAUUACAAAAGUGAACAGAAUAGUCGAUCAGCCUUACUUAAAGUCCUUGAAGAAACUUUCCAGUGUUACGUCAAGCAGCGUUUCUAUUUGUAUGGAUCCACAAUAAAUGCCUUUUUUAAAAAUGUGUGUUGUAAUGAUGGAUAAAUUAAAUGUGCCAUUUUUUUGCAGUUGCGAGCUGUGGCGGUCUUUGGACGUUGAAGAAAAAUUUUUAAUGAAUGUGGUAUGGAUAAACUUGGUUGGUAUACACAUACAAAUUCUGAAAUAUACUUCUAGUUUCAGUGGAAUUCACCCUAAUUAAGGCUUGAACUCCUGAUGUGAUGUGAAAACAAAUGGCACCCAUAGAUGCCUGGCUAAUAAAUCUAGACAAUACCAGACAAUUUGGUUGGUGUGAGAUGAACCCCAAAAGUAAAAUUUACUUUCAGUUGUGCUGAAUGGUGAUGAGUUGGUCUGAAUAUUCAGCUGAAAUGGAGUUCUGACGUGAAAGAGAUAAGGCCCGUCAUCCAAAGUUACGCACUUGGUAUUGUUCUGCGUCUGAAGAACAAGAGAUGACUCUAUGCAUAUACAAAGAGGGGAAAAAUCCACUCGAGGGUUUGCAGCUGCUUUCCAGAAUCCAGCACUUUAACGUGUUCAUUUCCAAGCAGCUGAGAGAGAUUUGAAGUCAACAGAAAGCUUCCCCAGUGUGUAAAGCACUUAGUGAAGCAUGUGGAAACAGUAAGCUUUCAGCCUGAUGGGAGAUGUUUAAGAAGAUUAUUCAUUUAUGAAGAAAACAGGGCUGGACUUGGUUUGAGAGAUCAGCAUAAUGUAUUCUGUUUUGAACAUAUCUCGUGAUUCUUGAUAUGCAGUGGAUUAUAUUCUAAUAUAAAAUAUCUUUUUGACUUAACCAUAUAAAGACAAAUGUAUUGGCUUUUUAAGGCAUCUGACCAAUAAUUGCCUGAAAAGCCCCCUGGUGGAUCAUUUAUAUUUUUCAGGAAGUAGAAGGUCUUUUGCUUGGACAUCUUUGCUAAUUUUUAUAAAGUCACAGCAACAAUAACUUGUAUAUUGUUACUUUGUGAAUGAAUAUGAUCUUGAUAUUUCAUACAUCAUUUAUAGGAAAAUAAUUUUAAAAAUGCGUAACAAAUAAUAGGCCUACAGCAUGCACU
Molecule: long non-coding RNA, 2278 nt
Organism: Cyprinus carpio carpio
Lineage: Eukaryota; Metazoa; Chordata; Actinopteri; Cypriniformes; Cyprinidae
Source: Ensembl